Nyctereutes procyonoides (raccoon dog) is the source of this 874-nucleotide long non-coding RNA. RefSeq lists it as uncharacterized. The record is from RefSeq and is a predicted model, not a curated record. Lineage: Eukaryota; Metazoa; Chordata; Mammalia; Carnivora; Canidae. The transcript is spliced from 4 exons.
AGUGUCCGCUCCUGUGGCCUCUCUGCUCUGAUAGCCUGUCACAUCAAGAUAGGACUAUGCACUUUUAACAGCAUCUGGAGGCAUCAUCUCCUCUGUUGAGCUUAACUGAUUCAUUCUUUGGCUCCUGGAGACAAGAACCCUGCAACCCUGUAAUGCAGAGACCAACAGAGAGGUCAUCAGAAGAUGGGAGACGCCAACAGGUCAUCUGGUGCACAUGUGUAAGAACUUCGGAGUCUGUGCCCAGCAGUGGAAUUGCUGGGUCAUAAGGAAUGCAGUGACACCCCAGGAUGCCGGCUAUGCAGCAGGUUCAGGAGCUCCAGGAGGAAGUUUCUGCAAGCACAGGCUUGACCCCCUCCCCCAUUCCAAGCAAAGAAUUGAGAAAUUGUAAAUAUUUUGGAUGGCAAUUUUUCAAUAUGCGUCAAAAUCUCUAAAAGUUUCAUUUCGUAAAAUCAUGGGAAGGUGUACAAAGAUGAUCGAAUAAGGAUGUUCACUGAAUCGUUAUUUAUGUUAAAAAAGUGAUUAUUAACAAAUAAAGGAUUGGUUGAUGAACUUAUAGUCUCUGUAUAUGAUGUAAUGCUCUGUAACCAUCUGAAACGAUGUUACAAAAGAUGAAAUGUCAUCAGUAAAUAAGUCUGGGUACACUAGCAAACGGAAAAAUAUGACUUGGGAAAAAAGUGUUUUCAGAAGAGUUUACUUUUGUGGGACAAUACCAGGAGAGAUAAGCAUUCGGAUAUUAAAAUUGAGUAUCGUUAUAUGGUGGAGUUAUAGGUAAAUUUUAAUUUUCUUCUUUAGCUCCCUGUAUUUUUUAAAUAUAAAACUAUAACUAUGAAACUGUAUUACAACUUUUACAAUAAAAUUCUUUUUUUAAAGAUUA